GUCUAUAGCCAUGUCACCCUGAACAAGCCUGAUCCUGUCUGAUCUUGGAAGCUAAACAGGGUUGGGCCUGGUUAGUACUUGGAUGGGAGACCACCUAGGAAGACCAGGUGCUGUAGGCA
RNAcentral lists this ribosomal RNA (119 nucleotides) under Pteropus alecto (black flying fox). Lineage: Eukaryota; Metazoa; Chordata; Mammalia; Chiroptera; Pteropodidae. The record is from RNAcentral.